RNAcentral lists this ribosomal RNA (800 nucleotides) under uncultured bacterium. RNAcentral's name for it is "bacterial SSU rRNA". It matches the Rfam family "Bacterial small subunit ribosomal RNA", at positions 8 to 788 of the family's 1533-position model. The record is from RNAcentral.
AGAGUUUGAUCCUGGCUCAGGAUAAACGCUGGCGGCGCACAUAAGACAUGCAAGUCGAACGGAAGUCGUUACGAAACGGAUUGAAGAUUUAUCAGAUUGAAGUUUUGUAACAAUGGCUUUAGUGGCGGACUGGUGAGUAACACGUAAGCAACCUGCCUAUUAGAGGGGAAUAACAAUGAGAAAUCAUUGCUAAUACCGCAUAAGCUUGUAGCAACGCAUGUUGUAGCAAGAAAAGGAGAAAUCCGCUAAUAGAUGGGCUUGCGGCUGAUUAGCUAGUUGGUAGGGUAAAGGCUUACCAAGGCAACGAUCAGUAGCCGGGCUGAGAGGCUCUGCGGCCACAUUGGGACUGAGAUACGGCCCAGACUCCUACGGGAGGCAGCAGUCGGGAAUAUUGCGCAAUGGAGGAAACUCUGACGCAGUGACGCCGCGUAUAGGAAGAAGGUUUUAGGAUUGUAAACUAUUUUAGACAGGGAAGAAUAAAUGACAGUACCUGUAGAAUAAGCUCCGGCUAACUACGUGCCAGCAGCCGCGGUAAUACGUAGGGAGCAAGCGUUAUCCGGAAUUAUUGGGUGUAAAGGGUGCGUAGACGGGAAUACAAGUUGGUUGUGAAAUCCCUCGGCUCAACCGAGGAACUGCAGCCAAAACUAUAUUUCUUGAGUGCAGGAGAGGAAAGCGGAAUUCCUAGUGUAGCGGUGAAAUGCGUAGAUAUUAGGAGGAACACCAGUGGCGAAGGCGGCUUUCUGGACUGUAACUGACGUUGAGGCACGAAAGUGUGGGGAGCAAACAGGAUUAGAUACCCU